Non-coding RNA from Mycena epipterygia, 97 nucleotides. The record is from the annotation of a GenBank genome assembly. Lineage: Eukaryota; Fungi; Basidiomycota; Agaricomycetes; Agaricales; Mycenaceae.
GCGCCGUUGGUGUAGAGGCAACACACAGCCUGAUCUUGAUGGGGUUGGUUCUCGACAUAUUGAGGUUGGGUCUUGGGUUCGACUCUCGGACGGCGCA